This 1257-nucleotide long non-coding RNA is filed under the name Sarcophilus harrisii (Tasmanian devil). Its description in RNAcentral is "lncRNA (ENSSHAG00000026427.1)". Lineage: Eukaryota; Metazoa; Chordata; Mammalia; Dasyuromorphia; Dasyuridae. The record is from RNAcentral.
AACUGAGGGACACAUUUAAAUCUUCCUCUCUAAUUCCCUUCUCCUUUCUAGGAACUAAAAUCUCACUUCCCUGUCUGCCUGAACUCUGAAGCUAGAACAAAACUAAAGGUCAAAACUCAAGAGGCGUAAACUGCAAUACCUAAAAGGAGCACACGGGGGCGUCCAAAACACAUGAAGAAGGAUUAGAUGGAAGUAAAAGAGUUUAUGGACAUUUCUUUCUGGGAAAAUAAAGCUGCCUGAUGGAGCUGACAAGCCACUGGUGGCUUUGGAGAGAAAGCACGCUCAUAAUAGGGAGGAGGAGAAGAAUCUUCCAAUCACCGGCCGCAAUUAGGGCUCCUCCACCACUCACCCCGCUUCCCCAUGAAUGAACAUUGACGUCAAUCGGGCGGAGAAGACCCCCCCAUGUGAUCUACUGGCUCCUCUUUAUAAAGAGGCGGGGCGGGCGCUGUCCAGCGUGCUGAAGCUUGGGGAAGCAAGCUAGCGGGAGAGACGGAGAAUCGACCACGCGAAGAGAGACCAGCUGGAAACUGACCGAGGCGACAGUCGAACGCAGCUCAGGGACCGAAACUCGGAGCAUCUCCUACCUCAAAAUCCCGACCCUUCCCAUUCCUCGAAUCCUAGCUGGUAAAUACUAUUCUGUCAUUCUGUCCACUCCCUUAUCCCUCCCCCCCCCCCAAUUUGGCUAUAUGCUGAAAGGAUAUCUCCUCUAGUUUGGGGGAAGGGGUAGCGCCAAGGGGACCUUAAGAAGAUAGAAGAGAGGAUGAUAUCUCCCCCUUUUCCCAGAUAGAGCCGCCUACGCUCGAUCUGGAGAGUCCCGUGGGGAGCAGAUAUUUUUUUCUCAGCCUUGAAGCAACGUGGGCGGUGACAGGAAGAUAGCUCCGAGAAGGAGCGGGGGCGAAGUGGAGGUGGGGGAAACACAGACGUGAGCGUUGCCAGGCGUUCCCCUCCGGUUUUAGGACUCCAUAGAUUAUAAUAUCUCCAUUUUCUCCCAGGGUCCGUGUCUUGACACUUCUGGGUUUGAGAGAAGUCGAGAUAAUAGGAGUGGAUAGCACUUCAAGGGUAGCUCCUAGAGAAACGCUAGAUUUUGAGGUCGUGAAGGGAAUUUAAGGAGCAGACAUACUGAAGCCCUGACAGCUUCUCUCGUUUCACUUGCCUUUCCCUUCCCCCCCCCCUUUAUUUUUCUUUUCUAUAGAGUGGAAAUCAUUCUUUCCCCAGUUCAAUAUGGAUUUACGCGCCCCUCCGCCUCUUCUGCCUUCU